GCAAAAGUAGAUGGUGUCUUAUUUGAUUCCAGCAUCUCCCGAAUUUUUCAUCUCUCGAUUCGAGCCAAUUUUUAGCAUGCGACAUUGGGAGGAAAUCUUUCGCGGGGUUGUCUGGAUUCAAAUUUGACGUGA
This is a non-coding RNA of Caenorhabditis elegans, 132 nucleotides long. The record is from Ensembl. Lineage: Eukaryota; Metazoa; Nematoda; Chromadorea; Rhabditida; Rhabditidae.